This 374-nucleotide ribosomal RNA is filed under the name uncultured prokaryote. RNAcentral describes it as "bacterial SSU rRNA". It matches the Rfam family "Bacterial small subunit ribosomal RNA", at positions 524 to 896 of the family's 1533-position model. The record is from RNAcentral.
UACGUAGGUGGCGAACGUUGUCCGGAUUUACUGGGCGUAAAGCGCGCGCAGGCGGACUGAUAAGUCAGAGGUAAAAUCUCCCGGCUCAACUGGGAGCGGCCCUUUGAUACUGUCAGCCUUGAGAUGCCUAGAGGAGAGUGGAAUUCCCGGUGUAGUGGUGGAAUGCGUAGAUAUCGGGAGGAACACCAGUGGCGAAAGCGACUCUCUGGGGGCGAUCUGACGCUGAGGCGCGAAAGCGUGGGGAGCAAACCGGAUUAGAUACCCGGGUAGUCCACGCCGUAAACGAUGAGUACUAGCUGUAUGGGGUAUCGACUCCCUGUGUAGCGAAGCUAACGCGAUAAGUACUCCGCCUGGGGACUACGACCGCAAGGUUA